Bubalus bubalis (water buffalo) is the source of this 1020-nucleotide long non-coding RNA. RefSeq lists it as uncharacterized. The record is from RefSeq and is a predicted model, not a curated record. NCBI's taxonomy places the organism in Eukaryota, Metazoa, Chordata, Mammalia, Artiodactyla, Bovidae. The transcript has 3 exons.
CUUUAUUAUAUUUGUGAGAAGUAUUUAUGAAAAUAUAAAUAAUUCUUUCAAUUGUAGGUUGAUAUUGCUUAAAAUGAUCAAUGAUUCACUUACUGUGUACUAAGAAUUGCUUUAAAUUCUUUGCAUAAAUAAUUACUUUAAUUCUCAGAACAACCCUAUGCAGUAUUGUUAUUAUCAUUAUUCUAAUUUUGCAGAUGAAAAUUGUGGCAGAGAAUGUAAGUAACUUACUCAAGAUCAAAGACCUGGUGGAUGGAAAAGAUAGAAAUUUUAAGUCAUGUAGCUCCCAGUUUCUGUACUUUUAACCAUGGACACUACUGGAUUUUCAUAAGGUAGGAGUUUUGGGGGCCAGGGCCAAAACUCUAUUCCCAAAUGAGGCCAAUUAUUCUAUUUUUGGUAAAAUUCAUUUUUAUAGAUGGCUGUUAUAGAAUAUGAGAUUUUAAGUCUAUUAGAGAAAGAUUAUCAACUUUGAAGUCAGCUAAAAUGGGCUUGAAUUCUCUUUUUUAUAAGUAACAUAUUGUAUGACUAAAUUUGAAUCUUUUUCUUCAUUUCUCUGGCCCCGUUUCUUUGCUCUCAUGAGGAUUAGAACAGUGACAUAUAAAAGGUGUAGCCUGAAGAAGUAAAGGAUUGAUGUCCUUGGUCUAAGGCUGGAAAAAAGCUAGAUUUUACUAGAACCAAGCAUGGGAGAGGAAGAAACACUCGCCACCAUGUCACAGACAACUCCUACUUGCUAUAUUUUCUGAAAGUUUGUUCUUCUUUGUGAGUAUACAUAGCCAGUUCAAGUUCCAUGAGAUUAAUGAAAUGCUUACAUAAAUUAUUGUAAUUGGAGAUUAUAUCUAUUGACAAAAGACUCUGCUGAAUAUUUCAAUGCAACUAGGAUUACAUUUUUGUCUUAACUCAUCUGCCUUUUCAGACAUACCAUAAGGAAACCUACAAAACUUUUGAAAAUAGAGAAAAAUCCUAUGCAGCACCAAGAGUACAUUUUGAGUAUUAAUACAUGUGGUCAGUUUGAAGGAGUAUAAC